RNAcentral lists this ribosomal RNA (872 nucleotides) under uncultured eukaryote. RNAcentral describes it as "SSU rRNA". It matches the Rfam family "Eukaryotic small subunit ribosomal RNA", at positions 572 to 1467 of the family's 1831-position model. The record is from RNAcentral.
AGCCGCGGUAAUUCCAGCUCCAAUAGCGUAUAUUAAAGUUGUUGUGGUUAAAAAGCUCGUAGUUGGAUCUCGGCGGACUGAGGGCGGUUUGCUUGCUAGUAUUACUGCCCUAUAGUCCGUAGUUUUGCCAGAGGUUUCGGGGUGCUCUUAAUCGAGUGUCCCGGGAUGCUGGCAGGUUUACUUUGAAAAAAUUAGAGUGCUCAAAGCAGGCUAUUACGCCUGAAUAUUCGUGCAUGGAAUAAUAGAAUAGGAAGUCGUUUCUAUUUUGUUGGUUUUCGGAAAUCGACUCAAUGAUUAAUAGGGACAGUCGGGGGCAUUUGUAUUCAAACGACAGAGGUGAAAUUCUUGGACCGUUUGAAGACAAACUACUGCGAAAGCAUUUGCCAAGAAUGUUUUCAUUAAUCAAGAACGAAAGUUAAAGGUUCGAAGGCGAUUAGAUACCGCCUUAGUUUUAACCAUAAACGAUGCCAGCUAGCGAUCUGCGGACGUUUUUUUUGUAGACUCCGCAGGAAGCUUCCGGGAAACCAAAGCAUUUGGGUUCCAGGGGAAGUAUGGUUGCAAAGCUGAAACUUAAAGGAAUUGACGGAAGGGCACCACCAGGAGUGGAGCCUGUGGCUUAAUUUGACUCAACACGGGAAAUCUCACCAGGCCCGGACACUGGAAGGAUUGACAGAUUGAUAGCUCUUUCUUGAUUCGGUGGGUGGUGGUGCAUGGCCGUUCUUAGUUGGUGGAGUGAUUUGUCUGGUUAAUUCCGAUAACGAACGAGACUCUGUCCUGCUAAAUAGUGUCUGCUUCUCUUUUGAGCAGACAAUUCUUCUUAGAGGGACUGGCGACUCUUAGUCGCACGAGAUUGAGCAAUAACAGGUCUGUGA